CACCGAGAGCUCCAGGAAAGCAGGGCCCUUACCCUCCUGUGAUCUGACCCCAAGCCGAUGUGGUUUGCAUCUGGGAAACUCAAUCCCCAGUCAGCCUCUUGGGAGUGGACAUGGGACCUGUUGUGUUGACGCUGCUAAUGUCCUUCCCUAGGGAGGCAAUGGACUGUCUGCCUUUCUAUGACAGAAUCCUAUUCCAGCGUGUGAGCAAACCACAUUUAACCACUCAUCCUAUGACAGCCAUUGUGAGAUUGUGCAUGGUACUUCUAAG
Molecule: long non-coding RNA, 268 nt
Filed under: Cricetulus griseus (Chinese hamster)
Lineage: Eukaryota; Metazoa; Chordata; Mammalia; Rodentia; Cricetidae
Description: lncRNA (ENSCGRG00015034290.1)
Source: RNAcentral